CCGCCCAAUAUUCUUGAGAUGGAUUCGUGCCUUCUUGCAGCGAAACUUAAUGACAGGUGGUGCAUGGCUGUCGUCAGCUCGUGUCGUGAGAUGUUGGGUUAACUCCCGCAACGAGCGCCACCCCUAUUGUAUGUUGCUACCAUUAAGUUGAGCACUCAUGCCAUACUGCCUGCGAUGAGCAGAAGGAAGGUGGGAAUGACAUCAAUCCUUCCUGCCACUUAUAGGCUGAGCUACACACUAGCUACAAUGGGAAAAACAGAAAGUUGCCCACCCGAGAGGGUGAGCUAAUCUCUUAAAGCUGCUCUUAGUUCGGAUUGUACUCUGUCACUCAAGUACAUGAAGAUGGAAUCGCUAGUAAUCGCAAAUCAACAUGUUGGAAUGAAUACCUUCUCGGGUCUUGUACACACCGA
This 410-nucleotide ribosomal RNA is filed under the name uncultured bacterium. RNAcentral's name for it is "bacterial SSU rRNA". It matches the Rfam family "Bacterial small subunit ribosomal RNA", at positions 975 to 1393 of the family's 1533-position model. The record is from RNAcentral.